Anneissia japonica is the source of this 308-nucleotide long non-coding RNA. RefSeq lists it as uncharacterized. The transcript has 3 exons. The record is from RefSeq and is a predicted model, not a curated record. Lineage: Eukaryota; Metazoa; Echinodermata; Crinoidea; Comatulida; Comatulidae.
ACAGUGGAGAAGAGAACUUUUCUGCACAAAACUCAGAUUUCCAGAAUGAACACUGUCUUCGUAACUUUGAUCUGUCUGAGUAUCGGCGUGUAAUGAACGACUUGGCCGUACAUAUCUAUCAAAUGCUAGUCAGAAUCAUUGAGAACCAGGUCCAGCAAAUGAUAGUUCCUGCCAUGCUGGAGAGUGAUAGUGCUGGAUUGACUGCCAAUAAACCUACAGGAAUGAGAGGCAGAAGCUCUAGCAGUGUCAACAAUCCGCAGCAAGAAAUGAGGAACGUCUCCAUCGAGUCCAUCAUUAAACAGGUGCGA